Molecule: ribosomal RNA, 162 nt
Filed under: uncultured bacterium
Lineage: Bacteria
Description: partial 16S rRNA
Rfam family: Bacterial small subunit ribosomal RNA
Source: RNAcentral
GGAAUCUUCGGCAAUGGACGAAAGUCUGACCGAGCAACGCCGCGUGAGUGAAGAAGGCUUUCGGAUCGUAAAACUCUGUUGGUAGAGAAGAACGUUGGUGAGAGUGGAAAGCUCAUCAAGUGACGGUAACUACCCAGAAAGGGACGGCUAACUACGUGCCAG